AUGCCCGAGGGGAAUCCUGAGCUGCGCGGGCAGGCCGGGCGGAGCGUCUCCUUCUCCAUCAGCCGCAGCCUGAAGCGCAGUCCUUGUCCUCCGGCGCCCACUCUCCCGGAGAUCCGCUUUCGCCUCCAGGCCCAGAAGGGGGAGGCUCGGGAACAUCCCGCCCGCUCCCGGAUCCCUUUCCCCCGCGGGGCUCCGGGGAGCCGGCCGAAGGUUCGAGGGCCGGGCCCGGCUCAGCAAGGCGGAGGUUUGGGCGCCGCGGGCCCCCUGCCUUCCCCGGAGGCCGCGCAGCGCCCGCGCAUCUCCGCCCGGCCCCGCCUCGCCCUCCCCUUGCCCGGGGAAGGGGGCGCCGGUCCCCGCGGGGCCGAGGCCCGGCCGACCUCCCCGGGGGGCAGCGGAGGGUCCGCAGCCGCCCCCGCCGAGGGCCCUGAUUGGCCAGCGCGGGCCCAAGGGCGUGGUGGCUCUCGGCCCCUCCCGCCGGGAAAGAGGGCGGGGCCGGCCCCGAGCUGCUCCCCGGGGGGGCCCGGAGCCCGCCCUGCUUUGGCCCGCCCGGCCUGCCCUCGGGGAGCCCCGGGGCGCGAAGACGGGGGCGGCGGGGCUGCGCUUCCGGCCCCAGGGAAGCGGCUGGGAGAGGCGGCUCUCCCGCGCCCUGCCCCGGAUCGCUGGGGGCGCAACGCCCGCGACGUCGGUCCCGCUCCGCUCGAAGGCCGAAGCCCCGCCUGCCGCGGUGGGAGAGGCGCCCGCCAGAUGCCCCGCUCCUUCGGGGGCGCAACGCGGCCCCCCGCCCGUCCCGUCGGACCCGCGCUCGCAGGGGGGCCGCGCCGGGGCCGCAGUGGGGAGGGGCCCGCCCGGGGGCCGCACCCCGGCCGGCAAAGUCAGCCGCUGCGUCGCGUCAUCCCAGGCCGCAGAGGGGCGCCCAGCCACGUGCGGCGCAGGACGGGCCGCGCUCGGGCUCCGCCCCGGCCGAGACUGCGCCCCGCUCGGCGACCGCGGCCCGGCCUCCUCCCCCUCGGCGGGGUCCCCGGGCGGCGCGGGCCCCUCUCGGCCAACGAGCGCGGCGCUAGGACCCGGGGGCAGCGCGGCCCCAACUGCAGCGCCGCCUCUGCCUUAUAA
This 1110-nucleotide long non-coding RNA is filed under the name Laticauda laticaudata (blue-ringed sea krait). RNAcentral's name for it is "lncRNA (ENSLLTG00000016923.1)". The record is from RNAcentral. Lineage: Eukaryota; Metazoa; Chordata; Lepidosauria; Squamata; Elapidae.